RNAcentral lists this ribosomal RNA (468 nucleotides) under uncultured bacterium. Its description in RNAcentral is "partial 16S ribosomal RNA". The stretch from base 58 to 468 matches the Rfam family "Bacterial small subunit ribosomal RNA", at positions 39 to 507 of the family's 1533-position model. The record is from RNAcentral.
GGGGGGGGGGGGGGGGGGGGGGGGGGGGGGGGGGGGGGGGGGGGGGGGGGGGGUGGGGGGGGGUGCGCGGGUGGCGAGCGGGGGGGGAACACGUGGGUAACCUGCCCUUGACUGUGGGAGAACUUCAGGAAACUGGGGCGAAUACCGGAUAGGAGCUCCUGCUGCAUGGUGGGGGUUGGAAAGUUUCGGCGGUUGGGGAUGGACUCGCGGCUUAUCAGCUUGUUGGUGGGGUAGUGGCUUACCAAGGCUUUGACGGGUAGCCGGCCUGAGAGGGUGACCGGCCACAUUGGGACUGAGAUACGGCCCAGACUCCUACGGGAGGCAGCAGUGGGGAAUAUUGCACAAUGGGCGGAAGCCUGAUGCAGCAACGCCGCGUGCGGGAUGACGGCCUUCGGGUUGUAAACCGCUUUCGCCUGUGACGAAGCGUGAGUGACGGUAAUGGGUAAAGAAGCACCGGCUAACUACGUG